Molecule: long non-coding RNA, 681 nt
Organism: Nicotiana attenuata
Lineage: Eukaryota; Viridiplantae; Streptophyta; Magnoliopsida; Solanales; Solanaceae
Exons: 3
Source: RefSeq, a predicted model, not a curated record
AGAAGAGUUAGAAUGGCAGUUCCCGCCCCUUGGGCGGUACCAAAUAAAUGACUACUUGAGGAUUUUCCGUUAUUUAAAUCGUCUGUCUCCGUCAUUUGUAGUUAUUUAUCAUUCAAUGAAUGACUGAUAAAGGAUUCAUUGAUAUUAGUCUAAUCCAAUUAGAAUGCUUGGUACUUUGUAGUUGUACAUAAGCAAAGUAUUGAAAAUCAUUUUGGGAACGUCCAGUGCCAAAGUCACUGAAUGGGGUUUCAUUGACCAAAGAGUUGAUAGCAAGGAUCAUUCUUGGUGUGGAUACGCCUAGAGUCUUCGCACUAUCGAAAAAAUUCUGAAACGAGACUCUCUUCACCAGCUUAUCACUCACCUUGGUGAUUAAUCCAUUGUAGUAUGAUUUCUUUUGACUAUAGAAAAUUGGGCAUCCAAAGCAAGUAAAAGAAAAAGCCUUGGGCAAACACCUGUAUGAAUCUCCAUCAAGAUGGCCAUGUCCAUAGGAGCAGAUUCAUGCAAAUAAAUGAUUGUAUUUGUACUGCACGCAUUAAAUACUAAUUUUGAAUAGGUUCAGAUAUUUGAAUACCAAAAUGAAAUAUUCAACCAAUUAAUAUAUUUUGAAUUUGAAAAAGAGUAAGAAGAAAUAUUCAGAUUUCUUAUUUUUUAUUUCUCGAACCGAGAGUUCCAUGAAUUGGA